UUCCAGACUCCUACGGGAGGCAGCAGUGGGGAAUAUUGCACAAUGGGGGAAACCCUGAUGCAGCGACGCCGCGUGAGCGAUGAAGUAUUUCGGUAUGUAAAGCUCUAUCAGCAGGGAAGAAGAUGACGGUACCUGACUAAGAAGCCCCGGCUAACUACGUGCCAGCAGCCGCGGUAAUACGUAGGGGGCAAGCGUUAUCCGGAUUUACUGGGUGUAAAGGGAGCGUAGACGGCGAUGCAAGCCAGAUGUGAAAGCCCGGGGCUCAACCCCGGGACUGCAUUUGGAACUGUGUGGCUGGAGUGUCGGAGAGGCAGGCGGAAUUCCUAGUGUAGCGGUGAAAUGCGUAGAUAUUAGGAGGAACACCAGUGGCGAAGGCGGCCUGCUGGACGAUGACUGACGUUGAGGCUCGAAAGCGUGGGGAGCAAACAGGAUUAGAUACCCUCGUAUCA
RNAcentral lists this ribosomal RNA (449 nucleotides) under uncultured bacterium. RNAcentral describes it as "bacterial SSU rRNA". It matches the Rfam family "Bacterial small subunit ribosomal RNA", at positions 329 to 795 of the family's 1533-position model. The record is from RNAcentral.